Molecule: ribosomal RNA, 494 nt
Filed under: uncultured bacterium
Lineage: Bacteria
Description: partial 16S ribosomal RNA
Rfam family: Bacterial small subunit ribosomal RNA
Source: RNAcentral
GACGAACGCUGGCGGCGUGCUUAACACAUGCAAGUCGAACGGUGAAGCGCCUUCCUUUUUGGUGGGUGUGGAUGAGUGGCGAACGGGUGAGUAACACGUGAGUAACCUGCCCCCUUCUUCUGGAUAACCGCAUGAAAGUGUGGCUAAUACGGGAUAUUCUGGGUCUGUCGCAUGAUGGGUCUGGGAAAGAUAUUGUUUCGGUGGGGGAUGGGCUCGCGGUCUAUCAGCUUGUUGGUGGGGUGAUGGCCUACCAAGGCGGUGACGGGUAGCCGGCCUGAGAGGGUGGACGGUCACACUGGGACUGAGACACGGCCCAGACUCCUACGGGAGGCAGCAGUGGGGAAUAUUGCACAAUGGGAGCAAGCCUGAUGCAGCGACGCCGCGUGAGGGAUGGAGGCCUUCGGGUUGUGAACCUCUUUCGCCAGUGAAGCAGGCCUGCCUCGUUUGUGGGUGGGUUGACGGUAGCUGGAUAAGAAGCGCCGGCUAACUACGUG